UCCCUGAUGGCUCAUAAGGUAAAGAAUCUGCCUGCAAUGCAGGAGACCCAGGUUCAAUCCCUGGGUUGGGAA
Molecule: transfer RNA, 72 nt
Filed under: Bos taurus (domestic cattle)
Lineage: Eukaryota; Metazoa; Chordata; Mammalia; Artiodactyla; Bovidae
Also listed under: 3 other names
Rfam family: tRNA
About the family: Transfer RNA (tRNA) molecules are approximately 80 nucleotides in length. Their secondary structure includes four short double-helical elements and three loops (D, anti-codon, and T loops).
Source: Rfam by way of RNAcentral